NNNNNAUUGAAUGUUUCGCGUGAAGAUUCCGGACCGUGGCUCGAUGCGCUUCACGGCGCUCUUGCCGUGGGAAGUUAUCUAAACCUCAACAUUUAGAGGAAGGUGAAGUCGUAACAAGGUUUCCGUAGGUGAACCUGCGGAAGGAUCAUUA
This 151-nucleotide ribosomal RNA is filed under the name Protohalopteris radicans. RNAcentral's name for it is "Sphacelaria radicans partial 18S ribosomal RNA". It matches the Rfam family "Eukaryotic small subunit ribosomal RNA", at positions 1683 to 1831 of the family's 1831-position model. The record is from RNAcentral. Lineage: Eukaryota; Phaeophyceae; Sphacelariales; Stypocaulaceae.